RNAcentral lists this ribosomal RNA (497 nucleotides) under uncultured bacterium. RNAcentral's name for it is "partial 16S ribosomal RNA". It matches the Rfam family "Bacterial small subunit ribosomal RNA", at positions 28 to 507 of the family's 1533-position model. The record is from RNAcentral.
GAUGAACGCUGGCGGCGUGCCUAAUACAUGCCAGUCGAGCGAACAGACCAGGAGCUUGCUCCUCGGACGUUAGCGGCGGACGUGUGAGUAACACGUGUAUAACCUACCUAUAAGACUGGGAUAACUUCGGGAAACCGGAGCUAAUACCGUAUAAUAUAUUGAACCGUAUUGUUCAAUAGUGAAAGACGGCUUUGCUGUCACGUAUAGAUGGAUCCGCGCCGCGUUAGCUAGUUGGUAAGGUAACGGCUUACCAAGGCAACGAUGCGUAGCCGACCUGAGAGGGGGAUCGGCCACACUGGAAGUGAGACACGGUCCAGACUCCUACGGGAGGCCGCAGUCGGGAAUCUUCCGCAAUGGGCGAAAGCCUGGCGGAGCAACGCCGCGUGAGUGAUGAAGGUCUUCGGAUCGUGAAACUCUGUUAUUAGGGAAGAACAAAUGUGUACGUAACUAUGCACGUCUUGACGGUAACUAAUAAGAAAGCCCCGGCUAACUACGUG